RNAcentral lists this small RNA (167 nucleotides) under Staphylococcus aureus. It matches the Rfam family "S. aureus tsr24 small RNA", at positions 66 to 238 of the family's 238-position model. Lineage: Bacteria; Bacillati; Bacillota; Bacilli; Caryophanales; Staphylococcaceae. The record is from RNAcentral.
UACGAAAGUGUCUUAUUUUUUUAAAGUAUUUCAAAGUAAAAUUACAUGUUAAUACGUAGUAUUAAUGGCGAGACUCCUGAGGGAGCAGUGCCAGUCGAAGACCGAGGCUGAGACGGCACCCUAGGAAGGGACCCGUCAUCAAAAAUUCUAUUUAUAGAAUUUUACAA